AUGAUUCACAACUCUAGCCACAGCAAAGGCCUGGCCUAUGUGGGUAAGAUCCUGAGGAGGCAGGAGAGGGACAGGGAAGGAGUAUGGGUAGGGGCAGGGGGAGCCCUGGCCCUCCUCCCCUUUCCUCCUGGAGCCUCCAGGGGUCUCAGGCAGCAUCAUCCCAGUCUACUGUACCCUCCUGGCCACUGUGGUCUUCGGUCUGCUUGCCUACGUGGCCUUCAAGUGCUGGCGCUCACAUAAACAAAGACAGCAGCUGGCCAAAGCUCUAACUGCAGGGCUGGGAGGUCUCAAUGACCAGAUCAAUGGGGAUAGCAGUGUCUUCCUGGACUCUCCUAGCAGUCUGGAGCCCCGUGCCUCCAGCCAGGGUGAGCCCCUUUCCCAGAACUGCCUCACCACCCAGCCCUUGUGUGAUCCUCAUGUCUCCUGCCCCAGGACCACAUCCUGAGCUUGGGUGCCGACUUUACCUUGAUCUCCCUCUGCAGGACCAGGAGAAAGUGGAGCGGCUGUUAGAGGUGUCACGUGAACCUGACAAGGGCGGGUGGGGACUGGCAGACCAUCUGGGCUACCGGGCUGAGGCUGUAGAAAUCAUGGCCCAAGGCCAGGUGUGAGCCUACACACUGCUGAGGGACUGGGCUAUCCAAGAAGACAGUGGUGCCACCCACAAGGUGCUAGAGAAUGCCCUGGUUGCCAUGGGCCAGGAAGAUGUGGUCCAGGUCCUGGGCUCCUAAGCUGAGGGCUGCUCUGUG
This 746-nucleotide small RNA is filed under the name Pongo abelii (Sumatran orangutan). Its description in RNAcentral is "transcribed unitary pseudogene". The record is from RNAcentral. Lineage: Eukaryota; Metazoa; Chordata; Mammalia; Primates; Hominidae.